CCACUCCAACUUUCCCUUUGUCCCGCGACACGUAUUCGACGUGUAACUUCAUCUCUUAGGUCAAAAACAGAGUCACGCAACAGGAGGCGUGUGGGAAAAGGCAGAAUUAUUAUAAUGAUCGUGUUAAAUGUAACUCCCAAAUUCCCACGGCUCUACAUAGAAACAAGACAGAGAGAUGUUCAAUGACAGACAACUAAAUUCAGUUCAACAUUGUCAUGUCAUUGAACAAUGUCAUUUCAUUUCUUGAGGACUCAUGCAAUUCAAAUGUGGAGUGUAAUUGAUAAAUCAGGACCUCUGUUUAUGUGUUUAUUGUGUCCUUUGUGCAGCCCGAAAACCACAUUUGUCUGUGUUUGGACAUGUGACCCUUACUGGGCGGUGUCACGUGGCAACAGGUCCACUGUUAUUAGAAGAGAAACUACUGGGAAGAAUAUAAUUUAUGCAUUCACUGUGAGCAAACAUCAGUAAAACCACAGCACAGGUUGAAAUGAGAUCCCUGCAGCAGUGCAGAUGUUAGUCUGCUGCCUGUAAAAAAAAAAAAAAAUAGGGUCUUUCAGGAGUAACACAAACUUGGGACUUUGUUUUAAUAUUUUGCAAAUGAAAGAUGUGCAGCUUUAAAAGAUGAAGCAUGGUUGAAAGGUUUAUUGCAAUGACAGGCGUGUAAUGUAAUGAUCUAAAUGAGACUAUUUGAUCAGACUGACCUUUUUACGGGGAGAUCACCGAGUAAGAAAGUAUGAAAAACAUAAAAUAUUACGACAAUAAUUGUCAAAACUAGACCACACCAAGCACAUUAACACUACUUUAAUGUGUCUUCAGAUCACACACUGGUAACGAGAUGCAAUAUCUUCUUGUGUGGUUCGGGUGGUACGGUAAAAUUAAUAUGCUCCAUUUACAACCGUUAAAGAGUCACAGUUUUUUAUGGAGUCAGAAAGAACAGGUAAUGUCUGCUUUCAGCAUGACAACAUGUCUUAUCAGAUACGUUUAAGUCAAUUGAAGAUGAAUAGGGGAUCUUUAUAUUUAUUUUCAUGUAACUGGACAAACAUAGAUAUAAAGUCAAACAGAUUUCUGCAGCCACUGCCAUCAGAAUGGUCAUAUUUCUCUUACCAAAUGCUGCCACUGAUCACUGUACUCGUCAUGAAGUUUUGGAUGGAUUUUGAUGUGGCCUGACCUGCUUAUUGUUUGCUUCUCUCUGGAUUUGUGUGCACACAGCUUUGGGCUGUGUUCUCUUUUCCCAUUUCCUAAUUGCUUGUAGAGCUCAUCAGUGAAUAACUGUGUGUGUGGAGUGCGGAUCACUGGACGCACGUUGUGUGAAUCAUUAAUAAUGUUAGGCAGCUACUGAAGAGUUCUGAGCAUAAGCUGAUGAGUCAGCAGCAGGGUCCCAGAACUAGGAGUGACAAUUACGUCAACAUUCUAUUGUGGCAAGUACGUAUUUGUAUUCUUGAAUGUGCUUCCUCGAUCCCCUUCUGAUUUUUUCCACCUAUUUUAUUUUUGGAGAUCUAAUAUUAUAUCUGUUGUAUGAAACAGCUGUGCAGAUAUUUACUGUCACUCCUAGCAGCAGCAGCAUCAUUUCAAGCACACGCACAGUCCUGGUGAAAACAUACACAAGGGUUUUUAAUCUACUUUUGGUAGCACAACGCUUCACGUUUGCUCACUGCCAGAUCUAAUUAUACUGUGAGGCUGAAGAAGUUAAUAUCUACAAAGUUGAGUCGAGAUAUGUUGUGCCACCGUACGGUACAGUACAACAGACGAUGACAAGGCAUCGUGUACUUGCUGUGCUGCGGCAGAUGGUUGACUGACAUCCCGCGAGGGGGGGGCGGAGAAGGAGCAGGUGAACACGAUCAGGCAGCUAAGCCGGACGAGAUCAUAAAGCAGCCUCUGACGGGACACAACGAGUCUGUGUUGCACUGAAAAUUACAAAGUAUGUUAAAAAUGACAAUGCACUGUGGAUAUAUAGUGCAAACUGUGCAUCUACAGCACGAGCCAAAGCUCAGCCAAGUCUUUAUGGGUUUAUGGUGUUUCCGUGCAAGGAGUUGUUGUUUGUGGUUUCCCCCCAUGACUUUGUAAAUGUCUCCUUAAAGUGCUGCAUGUUUGUAUCCGUGUUUGUGUUUAGGGCUUUUAUGUGCAUGACCUAAUUCCACUGUGAGAAUUUGCAGAGAUGGCUGUGUGUGAGUGCACAUGUGCGUGUGUGUGUGUGUGUGUGUGUGAGACUAAGUGUGCACACCCCUCCCUCCACUGCUUCCUUGUAAAGCUGACAGUAAGCACACUAAGUUCAUCUAAGGACAGGGAAAUGCUUUUCUUUUCAGUGUGAAUCAUUUUGGAAAAAUGAGCCUCUGGACUGAAUUGCCCCAGCAAUUUGGCAUGUUUCUCUAUUCUGCUUCAUUGUCUAUUUUGGCUGAACUUGCAGUUCUUCAUUUCACUGCCAAGAAAACUUCAGGUCCCUUACAACAGGCAAAGCCAGUUUCUGACUGUACCACGGCCUGUACGCAAAUCAAAUAAAUCUCUGCACAAUUCUGCCAUAUCUUCCUGUUUAUCCAUUGAUUCCAAAGAGAAAAAGAGCAAGCCAUAUCUGCACUAUAAAUCCACGGUUUCCACACCUGGGAACACCGUGGAAAAGUACCUCCCUGUAAGCUUUGCAUCUUCAAUGAAAAUUGUACGGGGAAAACGACACUAGUCUACUUUUUAUAGACGUGUUUAGUACAUUUAGAUUAGGACCCUUCCGCAUUGUAAAAGCCAUUUAAAAAAAAAAAAAAAAAAGGUAUCUGCUUUCUCACUCAAGCAGUUUAGAGAACAAAACUGCAGUGCAGUGAAAGAAAGUAGGAGAGGGAGCGGUUUUGGGAUGUAGACAAGGAGGAAGGGAGGGCGAUGGAGGGGGGGGGACUUUUAAUUUUGUAGUCCACCAGCCCCCUUGUAAUUCUACUGGUUCCCCCAUGAGAAGGAGCAGAAAGAAGAGAGGAGUGGCCUGUUUUGAGGUUUGCCUGAGCCAGUGGUGAGCUGUUGCAGCUGGCAGCUGGGCUCUCACUACCUAUGUCCUCCAGCUCCAGCCUGAAUUAUGAAGGCUCGGGAAUGGCAGUCAGCCUAAUUACAAUGACUGAUUGCUUGUCCGUUGGCAUUUCUCAGACAGUGAUUGUCAUGUGUGUGCAUGUGUGUGUGUGUGUGUGUGUGUGUGUGUGUGUGUGGGGUACAAGGGAAAGGAGGGACAUUUCUCAUUGGCCUUCCCCUUCCUUUCUUUGCAUGAGAACAGCCAGAGAUUCCGAUCUGAUUGGCUGGAGAGAAAAGAGAUGGUUCAUGAUUUGGCAAAGCAGAAUUUUUGGGAAGCCAGAGACAGGUGAUGUUGCACGGAUGGUGCAGUGUCGCCUAUUAAGUCGUCACCAAAUACAUCAAAAAAGGCUGCACUGUGAGAGCUUCACCACAGAAGACAUAUUGGGUUAUCUUUGCUGUUAUUUACCAACCGAACAACAAGGAUAUUUAUGUAGAAGACCUAUGCUGAUUCUCUCCCACCUGUUGAUUUGUUAUAGUUUGUCCCACUGGUAAAAAUGAAAUGAAGAAAACAAAGACAGACGCAUCUUGGAUUGAGCAUUUGUACGUCAGUAGCACUCCGAAGUGUGAUGUGUGUGUUAAGUGGGAGCUGGUUUGAGUUGGUCUGCCCUGCUUUGUCCAAUGCUUUGGCUUUUGUUCCUCAAGUAAUUAAUUGUGGAAGCCUUGGCUUCAGCUGGAGUGUCUCAUAGCAACUGAAAAGAGAGAGGCAGAGCUGGUAAAAUGGUGAGCGGGCAACGGGAGAUCAGGUUUUUCUGUCAAGUCUAGGCUUUUGAAUUGGUACUUUGUGACAAAUUCACAUCACCAGUAUAUCAUAUUUGUCACCUUUUAUGUCAAAAUGUCAGUGUUUUUGAUCUAAGUUGCAUCAUUCUCCGAAAUGCUUCUUAUUUGUGUGUGUUUACUAUUGACUACUAACCUAGAUUACACUUGUAGUGCAUUGCAAUAGUGGAAUGAAGUGAUGAGAGCAUAAUAAACAAAAGAACAAUGACAUAGACAUACUAGACAGUCCAGUCUGGUGACAGAGAUCGAUCUUUUCAAUCGUUCAAUUUUGUCAAAUAUAUGGAUGAUCAAAGUCAAUGUUUCCAGCAUACCACUAUUUUAAUUUAAACAAAACAAAUCUGGACCUUUUUUUUCCAUUCACCUGCUGCUGCCACUUCAUGUAUUUAGCACCUGCUGACGUUUAAGCAUCUUGAAUAUCCAGUGGCACUUUUCAUUAACUGAAACCUGGUACCACUCUGUGGUCAUGGCAGGUCUCGGGUCAACUGUCGACUUUCGCCUGAACCGCGUGUGUGUGUGUUGAGAUUUGUAACAUUUGAUUACACACAGAUAAGCAACAUCAUUAAGACUUGUUAGCAGUUGUGAAUGAUCAGUGUGCAUGUGUGUGUGUGCGCAUUCACGCCAGGCUGCUUUUUGCUUUUUUAACUGGCAGCCAGUGCUAAAACUUGGCCAUGUUUGCCCUGUGACCCAGACACUACCUGUCUGCUGCCAUGGUUACAGGGACAGAGCAGGUUUAGUGGCCUGACUCAAGGGAUUACUUUCCCUGGUCUUAACAAUCAGGCCUCUGCCCCAGUGGCUGUAAAAUGGACCAAACUGCAACCUAACAGUUAAGCAAACUCUACAGUUUGCCCUAGUGGCCUUUAAAACGGUUCUAAGUGCUGUGCAAGAGAUUAGACAUGUACAUUGUAAUUGCUCUGGUAUCAGUGACUGUCCCUUUGUGAUCAGGUUCACUUGUAGUGAUAAGCUCUUAAAUGAAAGAGCUCACGGUACACAGAGGAUACAGGUCUGAGCUCUGGAACACAUUUGAAAUCUUCAUUCUUAGGUUUAAUUAACUACAUUUUCCACCUUUACGGACGAUGUUUUUUGUUUUUUUUCUGUUUACCCAACAGAUCAAUGAAUGAAAUGAGGACAGCAAUCAUGACACAGUCAUUGCAGUGAAAUGGGCUUUGACUUAAGCCACAGGCACAGACAUUUUGGUCAACAAGUGGAAUCAUGGACAGACAGACUGGCGAUCGCAUCAGCGUCGUGAGUGGAGGCUACCUGACAUGCUGCUGAAACCAGGAUGGAGGAAGGAGGUGAUAGGCCACUGUGCCUCCCCCUCCUUUGCUGUGUGUUGCUGAGCAGGUGAGAAACAUUAACAGAGGCAGCAGCAGCAGCAGCAGCAGCAGCAGCAGCAGCAGCUGCGGCCCUCUGCUCCACACAUGUGGGCCAGGAUAUGAGCUCGCUCAAGCUCGCCCACUCUCAACAUUGGUCACAAAUGUUAACACUCUUUUCUCUGAAACACAGGGGGAAAAAAAUCCUGAGAAAGAAAGUGGACACGUGUUACCUGAAAUAAAAGCCGUCUUCUUUUAUGAUUGUAUGUCGUUGUGUGUAUAAUGCUCAGUUCCAAAAGGUUUCUGGCUGUUGACUCUCUGCUUGUCGCGUGUUUGCAUUGUAAAUGUUGGCGAAGCGUUUCAAGCUAACGUUAAACAAGAGAGAGAUUAUCUCACAGAAUCAUUACUUGUUAUGUGAGAUCCCAACCUUCAGGCUGUGUAACAAUGCUGUCACAUGGUGAAAAGCUCAUUUCACCACCAUCUUUCAGCAUUGAUAACACACCGACUUGAUGCAGACCAGUAUUAAAUGUUCAAAGAAACUAUUUUCAGUAAAAUCCUCAAUUUUAAAGGUCACAUUGCCCUUUUGAGUUACAUUCUGCGUGUAUUUGAAUAUGCAAAUACCUUGGCUAUGAAAUUUGCUUGGUACAUAUGCACCUUGCUGAAUAAUUUGAAUUCCUAUUCAGCUCAAAGCCAUGAACUGGAUGACCCAGUCAUCACGUUGUCUUUUGAACUCAAAGAUUGCUGUCACACCAGUGAGGUGUCCCAGAGGAGAGUGGCAUGUGUAUUUGUGUUUCUGUGAAUCUUAACUGCUGUGUCAUAGUCAGUGAGGUGUGUCAAAGCACAUUGCCGGCAUGAAGACAGAGACCCGAAAGGAGUUUGUUUUUAAACACUGUCCUUUGGGGUGAGGUAGUAGGUUGUAUAGUUUUAGGGUCAUACCCUUCCUGUCAGAUAACUAUACAACUUACUGUCUUUCCUGAAGUGGCUGUAAUGUCGUCAGAUGCCUUUUUUGGAGCUUUUGGAUCGGGAAUCAUCAGUGGAAUGACCCACACUGACUGCUUCAGACCUAAUAAAAAAUGAUAACGGUAGGUUGGUCAGUAUUGUUGUAAAUAAUGUUGAUUUCUAUCCCAUGAUUUUCAUAUUUUGUCCUAAGACAAUAUUGAAUAAUGAUUCAGGUAUAGUCUUUUGCUGGUUCUGUUUGUUUCCGUGCAACAGUCAACUCAUAUCUUAUUAAAUCACUUUGUCUGUUUUACCUAAUUGUCACUCUUUAUGUUGUUAUUCCUUAUUUAUUUUAUUUCUUGCAGUAUUUUUAUUGUCAAAAUGUAUAUAGGUGUAUUUAUCAUGCAUUUCUUUUAUUUUUUUUACCAUAAUAAUAGUAACUCUUUUACGACGUAGAAUUAUACAUCCCGACAAAGCUUUAUAGCCAGAAGGAGCUCUCUGAUGUUCGUACGGGGUGAGGUAGUAGGUUGUGUGGUUUCAGGGUAGUGAUUUUGCCCAAUCAGGAGAUAACUAUACAACCUACUGCCUUCCCUGAAGGGCAGCAAUACUUCACCAGACAGACAACAGGGAGUGUCAAUGUGGCAACAUGUACAACAAGUAUAUAUGUUUAAAAAAAAAACAAAGAUUAACAGGACUUACCUGCUUUACGUCAAUAAAGUAAAGCAGGUCUGAUGUCCAAGCCCCAAGUCAUCAAGUCAUUUCUUACCUGGAGUGUAAAAUUUAACAAUCAUUCAUAGCCCAGCAGACAGAACCAGCAGAUAAGGUUUGUUCUCUGGAAUUUCAGAAAUUUUUUUACAUUUCUGCUUUGAGCAAAAAUAAAAAAAUAAAUUGAUAAUA
Long non-coding RNA from Solea senegalensis (Senegalese sole), 6953 nucleotides. RefSeq lists it as uncharacterized. The record is from RefSeq and is a predicted model, not a curated record. The transcript is spliced from 3 exons. NCBI's taxonomy places the organism in Eukaryota, Metazoa, Chordata, Actinopteri, Pleuronectiformes, Soleidae.